UUGGCGGUGUGCCUAAUACAUGCAAGUCGAACGAUGGUUAUUUUGUAGUAAUACGAAGUGAUCAUAGUGGCGAACGGGUGAGUAACGCGUUGGUGAUCUGCCUCGAAGUGUGGAAUAACGUUCCGAAAGGAACGCUAAUACCGCAUGUGCUCUCGAUUUUUAGAAACUUGAGAGUAAAGGAUUUAUUCGCUUCGAGAGGAGCCUGCGUCCCAUCAGCUAGUUGGUAAGGUAAUGGCCUACCAAGGCAAUGACGGGUAGGGGACCUGAGAGGGUGGCCCCCCACAAUGGAACUGAAACACGGUCCAUACACCUCCGGGUGGCAGCAGUAAGGGAAUAUUUGAAAUGGACGAAAGUCUGAUCUAACGACACCGCGUGUGCGAGGAAGGCCUUCGGGUUGUGAAGCACUUUUUG
RNAcentral lists this ribosomal RNA (411 nucleotides) under uncultured bacterium. Its description in RNAcentral is "bacterial SSU rRNA". It matches the Rfam family "Bacterial small subunit ribosomal RNA", at positions 37 to 439 of the family's 1533-position model. The record is from RNAcentral.